AUGAAGGGUAUGAGAGGAAGAGGUCGUCUACUGGACGCGGUUCAACUAGCGGAGACUCUUGGAAAAGAUGCACUAAAAAGUCCCCAAGUUAGCGUAUUAUGGGGGACCGUCAAGCACAUCCGGCAAAGAUCAAGGGGCGUCUCGUUGUUGCAUAGCUCAGGUCAGAGCAAGGUGCCAUCAGGCGUUCAACAGGCAGUCUCACGAUCGGGUAUGAGUGUCCUGAAGAAGAAAUUGUAUACUCCCUUUGGUCGGAAGGUGGCGGGGGAAGGAAGGGGACACUGGGCAGGAUCUUUCAAUAGCGAAUUCCCCAUACAGAUAGAGGCGCCUAUCAAAAAGAUACUCCGAAGGCUUCGGGAUCGAGGUCUCAUUAGCCGAACAAGACCCAGGCCAAUCCACAUGGCCUCUUUGACCAACGUCAAUGAAAGAGACAUAGUAAAUUGGUUCGCGGGCAUCGCGAUAAGUCCUCUGUCCUACUACAGGUGCUGCGACAACCUUUACCAAGUCUGA
RNAcentral lists this ribosomal RNA (507 nucleotides) under Triticum aestivum (bread wheat). RNAcentral describes it as "partial small subunit ribosomal RNA". Lineage: Eukaryota; Viridiplantae; Streptophyta; Magnoliopsida; Poales; Poaceae. The record is from RNAcentral.